GAUUUGUUCCUCGAUUGGACGCUGGGAUUCUCUUAAGAGAGUGUUCCUGAUGGGCAAACAGGAUCCAUGGUGUCCGUGUUUGUCGGAUUUCUUCCGAGACGGGCGAGGGGGAGGAUACGCUCGGGAAAUAGAAGUGGACAAGCAAACGGAAGAAACGAUCCUCACGGAAAAAAUUACAGGCUCAUAGGAUGCUAAUGCGCGCGCGCGCGUCACAGCGAGCGAUUUCCGACCAGGUUUGUAGGCUCCAUUAGGAAACAAUAUCCGCCCGCAUGCAGCUGCACUUUCAAUAUAAACAGGAAGGAGAGAGACAUAACAAGAGAGGAUUAGAGCGAAUAUCUCACCUGCCCCACGCUAAAUCAGGGGGGAGAGAGAUUGAGAGGAGAUCUCGAGCUUGCCCACCUUAAAAUCAGGGGAGAGAGAAAAGAUUAGGACCGCUCGUUGCUACGCUCGCUCGUGAAAGAGCUUUUCCGGUCAUAGCGAAGCUAUUGCGGAUCCAGGCGAGAUCUGCCCAGAAGAUAUUGGAGCUGCGAUGGCUAAAGAAGCCGGAGAUGCAGAGGGAGUGGUGGUGUCCAAAUCAAAAGGAUCUUGCGGAAAGACAAUUUACGAACCUUGUAUUGAUCUGGCGAUUUUUUGCAUAAUGUGUCUGAUUUUUUCCUAAAUCUGCUCGAUCAUAGUCUGUAUCUUUAAUUCCUUGCUGUUUGUAGUCAUCUAGCGGGAAAAGAUUAGUUUUUUUUUUUGCGAAACGGGAAAAGAUUAGUUGUAUCCUAGUACUAACCAGUGGUUCCGAUUACUUUUCAGGAUAAGAAUUGGUAAAGCUGCUGAGGAGAGGAGAGCAACGCCAACCCUAGCAGAGUGCCUUCCCUGGAGGCUUCAGUUCGUGCUUAUGCUGAUAAGUAGACAUGUUGUGUUGUUAAUCCACAAGUUGGUACUAACUUCGAUUCUGUUGAAGAGGCGUACAAAUUUGACAACGUAUACUCCUCGGAGACUGGUUUUGGAUAGCCGGUUGUAUGUCCAUAAAAAGAAAUGCAUGCAACAGAUCGUGUGGGCAUGCACGGUGAGCAGCUGAUGAUUUUUGUGAAUGAGACCAUGCUUGAUUUUGUGUGCCCAUUAGGGAUUAGAAGACGCACGGCACAUGAGUAACUGAUGAUAAAUACGCCUGCACUAAAUACAUGCACUUCGGCAUUUCUUGUUGAAUCCAUGGGUGAUUGAGGUAUCCGGGUGAUUGACACAACAGAUUUUUUAUGUUUUGUAAUUGAGUGAUUCUUUGGGUCAGUCUAAUAAUUAGUUCUCAAUCAAGAUUUUUGUUUUGUUUUGUACAUUUGUUGUUGUUUUAGUCUGUUUUUGGACGAUUCUGUGCUAUUUUGGCCAAAUGUACUACAUUAGUGGCUUAAUUAUGAAAAAACUAAUGUAAU
Molecule: long non-coding RNA, 1412 nt
Filed under: Triticum aestivum (bread wheat)
Lineage: Eukaryota; Viridiplantae; Streptophyta; Magnoliopsida; Poales; Poaceae
Description: long non-coding RNA (TAES_LNC007244)
Source: RNAcentral